UACGGAAGGCAGCAGUGGGGAAUAUUGCACAAUGGGCGCAAGCCUGAUGCAGCCAUGCCGCGUGUAUGAAGAAGGCCUUCGGGUUGUAAAGUACUUUCAGUCGUGAGGAAGGUGUUAAGGUUAAUAACCUUAGCAAUUGACGUUAGCGACAGAAGAAGCACCGGCUAACUCCGUGCCAGCAGCCGCGGUAAUACGGAGGGUGCGAGCGUUAAUCGGAAUUACUGGGCGUAAAGGGCACGCAGGCGGUUAAUUAAGUUGGAUGUGAAAUCCCCGGGCUUAACCUGGGAAUGGCAUUCAAGACUGGUUAGCUAGAGUCUUGUAGAGGGGGUAGAAUUCCAUGUGUAGCGGUGAAAUGCGUAGAGAUGUGGAGGAAUACCGGUGGCGAAGGCGGCCCCUGGACAAAGACUGACGCUCAUGUGCGAAAGCGUGGGGAGCAAAACAGGAUUAGAUA
RNAcentral lists this ribosomal RNA (451 nucleotides) under uncultured bacterium. RNAcentral's name for it is "bacterial SSU rRNA". It matches the Rfam family "Bacterial small subunit ribosomal RNA", at positions 340 to 784 of the family's 1533-position model. The record is from RNAcentral.